Molecule: ribosomal RNA, 497 nt
Filed under: uncultured bacterium
Lineage: Bacteria
Description: partial 16S ribosomal RNA
Rfam family: Bacterial small subunit ribosomal RNA
Source: RNAcentral
GAUGAACGCUGGCGGCGUGCCUAAUACAUGCAAGUCGAGCGAACGGACGAGAAGCUUGCUUCUCUGAUGUUAGCGGCGGACGGGUGAGUAACACGUGGAUAACCUACCUAUAAGACUGGGAUAACUUCGGGAAACCGGAGCUAAUACCGGAUAAUAUUUUGAACCGCAUGGUUCAAAAGUGAAAGACGGUCUUGCUGUCACUUAUAGAUGGAUCCGCGCUGCAUUAGCUAGUUGGUAAGGUAACGGCUUACCAAGGCAACGAUGCAUAGCCGACCUGAGAGGGUGAUCGGCCACACUGGAACUGAGACACGGUCCAGACUCCUACGGGAGGCAGCAGUAGGGAAUCUUCCGCAAUGGGCGAAAGCCUGACGGAGCAACGCCGCGUGAGUGAUGAAGGUCUUCGGAUCGUAAAACUCUGUUAUUAGGGAAGAACAUAUGUGUAAGUAUCUGAGCACAUCUUGACGGUACCUAAUCAGAAAGCCACGGCUAACUACGUG